This 497-nucleotide ribosomal RNA is filed under the name uncultured bacterium. Its description in RNAcentral is "partial 16S ribosomal RNA". It matches the Rfam family "Bacterial small subunit ribosomal RNA", at positions 28 to 507 of the family's 1533-position model. The record is from RNAcentral.
GAUGAACGCUGGCGGCGUGCCUAAUACAUGCAAGUCGAACGCAUAGCGAAAGGUGCUUGCACCUUUCAAGUGAGUGGCGAACGGGUGAGUAACACGUGGACAACCUGCCUCAAGGCUGGGGAUAACAUUUGGAAACAGAUGCUAAUACCGAAUAAAACUUAGUGUCGCAUGACACAAAGUUAAAAGGCGCUUCGGCGUCACCUAGAGAUGGAUCCGCGGUGCAUUAGUUAGUUGGUGGGGUAAAGGCCUACCAAGACAAUGAUGCAUAGCCGAGUUGAGAGACUGAUCGGCCACAUUGGGACUGAGACACGGCCCAAACUCCUACGGGAGGCUGCAGUAGGGAAUCUUCCACAAUGGGCGAAAGCCUGAUGGAGAAACGCCGCGUGUGUGAUGAAGGCUUUCGGGUCGUAAAGCACUGUUGUAUGGGAAGAACAGCUAGAAUAGGAAAUGAUUUUAGUUUGACGGUACCAUACCAGAAAGGGGCGGCUAAAUACGUG